GAUGAACGCUAGCGGCAGGCUUAAUACAUGCAAGUCGAGGGACAGCACAGGUAGCAAUACUGGGUGGUAACCGGCAAACGGGUGCGGAACACGUACACAACCUUCCUUUAAGUGGGGGAUAGCCCAGAGAAAUUUGGAUUAAUACCCCGUAAUAUAGUUGAAUGGCAUCAUUUGAUUAUUAUAGCUACGGCGCUUAAUGAUGGGUGUGCGGCUGAUUAGAUAGUUGGCGGGGUAAGGGCCCCACAAGUCUACGAUCAGUAGCUGAUGUGAGAGCAUGAUCAGCAACAGGGGAACUGAGACACGAGCCCGACUCCUUCGGGAGGCAGCAGUAAGGAAUAUUGGUAAAUGGACGAAAGUCUGAACCAGCCAUGCCGCGUGAAGGAUUAAGGUCCUCUGGAUUGUAAACUUCCUUUAUUUGGGACGAAAAAGGGUCUUUCUAGAUCAACUGACGGUACCAGAUGAAUAAGCACCGGCUAACUCCGUGCCAGACGCCGCGGUAA
Molecule: ribosomal RNA, 500 nt
Filed under: uncultured bacterium
Lineage: Bacteria
Description: partial 16S ribosomal RNA
Rfam family: Bacterial small subunit ribosomal RNA
Source: RNAcentral